RNAcentral lists this long non-coding RNA (833 nucleotides) under Mytilus galloprovincialis (Mediterranean mussel). The record is from RNAcentral. Lineage: Eukaryota; Metazoa; Mollusca; Bivalvia; Mytilida; Mytilidae.
UACGGAACUUAUCAUAUUUACUCCGGAAUAAGUUUUAUAAUUACUUAGUCCAUGGGAGAUAAUUUUGAGUGUAAAUUUAUAUCGCUAAAUAUUCUGAAGACGCACAAUCUUCAAAACCCUAAUUUUACUGAAUACUUAAAUAAGUUUGACUUGCAGAAAUUGCAGAAAUGUUUGAAGCCUGGAGACUGAGGUAUUCUUUAUGUAAUGUAGUAAUGUAGCUGUAUUGUGAUUUAAUAUGUUAAUAUUUUGAAUGCUUAGAAUUGAGGUUGAUUCAGAUAGUAAAAAUACAUAUCAUUACUUUAUGUUAUUAGCAAGUCUUGCAUACAACAUUUUAAUUAUUAGAAAUAUAAAGUCCCUUUAUCAAUUUAGAGUUUUAAGUACAUGUACCUCUUUUGAUUAGUAAGUUAACUUGAAUUCAGGAAAAGGUAAUUAUUAAGAAACAAUAUUGAUUUAGUAUUAUGAAUUAUCUGGCAUGUUGAAAGAAAUAUAUUUAGUAAUGCAAUUAAAGAAAAUAUGCGAGUUAAGCUCUUGAGUUAGGUCCACCCCUUUUUAACAUGUUUAAUGAAAUAUAACUAUUGAAAGUUACAGAGUUAAUUCCCCUGAUGAGUUAUUCCCCUUUGAAAUAAGUUGUAUGUGAGACUGUAAAGGUUCAUCAUUGUUUAUUGAUUUAUUGAUGCAUGAUUUAUUUGUAAUUGAUUGUAACUGUUUAUUGAAUAUACAAUGUAGACUUGAUCUUUGGAACCUGAAAAUAAAACAUCAUUUUACAGAACUUCUGUCUAUUUUAGUAACUUGCAGAACAGAAAACAAAAACCCCCCUACAAUCAGCACAACAC